GCAAAUUCCUUCACAGUCAGGAUGUGAACUGGGGUUUUCACAAACUCUGAUGUGUACACCAGGCCACCUGGGCUCUUGCAAAAAUGCAGGUUCUGAUUUAGCAAGUCUGAGGCAGGGCCUAAAACUCUGCAAUUCCAGCUACAUCUCAGCUGACGCCGAGGCUGGAAAUCUAUGGAUCAUAGUUUGGGAGUAAGCCCUCAGAGAGGAUCAACCCAGCUGACGCUUUGAGUACGAGCUUCCGGCCUCCAGAACGCUUUGAGGCAAGCAAGGACUCGGCAAGUCAAGAGAUCCUGCACUCUUGGGAAAAGCAGCUGAAGUUUGCCCCUUACCUUGCUGUCUGCUGAUGCCUGCCUUGUACCUGAUGGCAUUCAGGGGGCCAAGGAGGUCAAGGAACCUGAUGCCAAUUCCCUGGGCACCGCCACCCAAGCUCAAAUCCUGUCUUUUUGUUUUUGGUACCGGGGAUCGAACUUGGGUCCUUGCGCUUGCGCAGCAGGGCAUUGAGUCAUCCUCUCCUGGAUUAAGUGAUAACCAUCUUAUCACUAAGCAUCCCCAUGUGACUCUGGUGCCCGUUGGGCAUUGUGUUAAGUUGGCAACUGUGCCGAGGUGCUCCGCUUUAAAUACUACAUCAUCACAAGGAAAGACUAGGAUGCAAUCAAUGGCCCUGGCCGUGCCUGGUGAGAGCUCAGGGAUGGGACCCUAUGCUGUGUGGACGGAGGAUUUGCCUCAGGGUGAAGAGGAGAAAGUGGAGGAAAAUCCAGCUGUCACAGCAGAGGUGGGUGUGGGGGUG
Molecule: long non-coding RNA, 787 nt
Organism: Heterocephalus glaber (naked mole-rat)
Lineage: Eukaryota; Metazoa; Chordata; Mammalia; Rodentia; Bathyergidae
Source: Ensembl